This 253-nucleotide ribosomal RNA is filed under the name uncultured bacterium. RNAcentral describes it as "partial 16S ribosomal RNA". It matches the Rfam family "Bacterial small subunit ribosomal RNA", at positions 524 to 776 of the family's 1533-position model. The record is from RNAcentral.
UACGUAGGUGGCGAGCGUUGUCCGGAAUUACUGGGUGUAAAGGGCGUGUAGGCGGGGAUGUAAGUCAGGUGUGAAAUUCCGUGGCUCAACCACGGACGUGCAUCUGAAACUAUAUCUCUUGAGUGCUGGAGAGGAAAGCGGAAUUCCUAGUGUAGCGGUGAAAUGCGUAGAUAUUAGGAGGAACACCAGUGGCGAAGGCGGCUUUCUGGACAGUAACUGACGCUGAGGCGCGAAAGCGUGGGGAGCAAACAGG